GACGAACGCUGGCGGCGUGCUUAACACAUGCAAGUGGAGCGACGAACCAGGCUUCGGCCUGGGGCAAAGCCGCGAACGGGUGAGUAACACGUGGGUAACCUACCCCGACGACCGGGAUAACCCGAGGAAACUCGAGCUAAUACCGGAUGUGCUCAUGACUCUCAAGCGUCAUGAGUAAAGGAAGCUUCGGCCUCCGCAUUGGGAUGGGCCCGCGGCCCAUUAGCUUGUUGGUGAGGUAACGGCUCACCAAGGCUUCGAUGGGUAGCUGGUCUGAGAGGACGAUCAGCCACACUGGGACUGAGACACGGCCCAGACUCCUACGGGAGGCUG
This 330-nucleotide ribosomal RNA is filed under the name uncultured Actinomycetes bacterium. RNAcentral's name for it is "bacterial SSU rRNA". It matches the Rfam family "Bacterial small subunit ribosomal RNA", at positions 28 to 351 of the family's 1533-position model. Lineage: Bacteria; Bacillati; Actinomycetota; Actinomycetes. The record is from RNAcentral.